AUUGAACGCUGGCGGCAGGCCUAACACAAGCAAGUCGAGCGGAUGAAGGGAGCUUGCUCCUGGAUUCAGCGGCGGACGGGUGAGUAAUGCCUAGGAAUCUGCCUGGUAGUGGGGGAUAACGUCCGGAAACGGGCGCUAAUACCGCAUACGUCCUGAGGGAGAAAGUGGGGGGUCUUCGGACCUCACGCUAUCAGAUGAGCCUAGGUCGGAUUAGCUAGUUGGUGGGGUAAAGGCCUACCAAGGCGACGAUCCGUAACUGGUCUGAGAGGAUGAUCAGUCACACUGGAACUGAGACACGGUCCAGACUCCUACGGGAGGCAGCAGUGGGGAAUAUUGGACAAUGGGCGAAAGCCUGAUCCAGCCAUGCCGCGUGUGUGAAGAAGGUCUUCGGAUUGUAAAGCACUUUAAGUUGGGAGGAAGGGCAGUAAGUUAAUACCUUGCUGUUUUGACGUUACCAACAGAAUAAGCACCGGCUAACUUCGUG
This 484-nucleotide ribosomal RNA is filed under the name uncultured bacterium. Its description in RNAcentral is "partial 16S ribosomal RNA". It matches the Rfam family "Bacterial small subunit ribosomal RNA", at positions 30 to 507 of the family's 1533-position model. The record is from RNAcentral.